GCAGCACAAGUAUAACGUAGAUGUGGCACUCGAUAGAUUACAACUGCAAAGCUCGGUGAAAGAUUUCGAAUCAUCCAAAGGAUGUGCUCAAAGGUGGAAAGAAUGAUGCUCAAGGAAAGUCUCUUAUGAGUGAUAACGAGAUGGUUGACACAUUCUUGAAUAUUCUGCAAUCACCCUUCUGUGAGACCAUGGUGAGCAGUGUUUCUUCAAACUUUGUAAACAGAGUGUUAAUUGAAGAAAGAAUUGGAGUCGGUGUGAAGACUGAAAAUAUCGUACAAGGUCCUACCAUGGCGGCAAAUGUGAACAAGUCGGGUCUAAGCAUGGGAGGAGGAGAGCCAAAGAGGCUCAACCAUGUCCCAUCACUCAAAUACCCUUGACAUACUCUCUAGUUGAAACAGUUCUAAGACGAAGUCGGAGACUAGAUCCAAAUUCAAUUUCUCACUAAGUCUCUAGGCAGAAUAAUGCUUAUGAAUUUCAAGUCUCCUGCACAAAAGGCUGAAUCUCUAAUUGUUACAUGAAGCCUUUAAAGCCUUAAUUCCUCAACACUCAUGAUACGAAAGGUGAUUACCAUGAAUGGGCUAUCGGUCAUCCCAC
This 594-nucleotide long non-coding RNA is filed under the name Vigna radiata. RNAcentral's name for it is "long non-coding RNA (VRAD_LNC013974)". Lineage: Eukaryota; Viridiplantae; Streptophyta; Magnoliopsida; Fabales; Fabaceae. The record is from RNAcentral.